This 320-nucleotide ribosomal RNA is filed under the name uncultured bacterium. RNAcentral's name for it is "bacterial SSU rRNA". It matches the Rfam family "Bacterial small subunit ribosomal RNA", at positions 32 to 361 of the family's 1533-position model. The record is from RNAcentral.
AAUCAACGCUGGCGGCGUGCCUAACACAUGCAAGUCGAACGAGAAAGUGGAGCAAUCCAUGAGUAAAGUGGCGCACGGGUGAGUAACACGUGACUAACCUACCCAGGAGUGGGGGAUAACUGAGGGAAACCUUAGCUAAUACCGCAUAACACCUACGGGUCAAAGGAGCAAUUCGCUUCUGGAGGGGGUCGCGGCCGAUUAGUUAGUUGGCAGGGUAAUGGCCUACCAAGACGAUGAUCGGUAUCCGGCCUGAGAGGGCGGCACGGACACACUGGAACUGAAACACGGUCCAGACUCCUACGGGAGGCAGCAGUGGGGAA